This 497-nucleotide ribosomal RNA is filed under the name uncultured bacterium. RNAcentral's name for it is "partial 16S ribosomal RNA". It matches the Rfam family "Bacterial small subunit ribosomal RNA", at positions 28 to 507 of the family's 1533-position model. The record is from RNAcentral.
GAUGAACGCUGGCGGCGUGCCUAAUACAUGCAAGUCGAGCGAACGGACGAGAAGCUUGCUUCUCUGAUGUUAGCGGCGGACGGGUGAGUAACACGUGGAUAACCUACCUAUAAGACUGGGAUAACUUCGGGAAACCGGAGCUAAUACCGGAUAAUAUAUUGAACCGCAUGGUUCAAUAGUGAAAGACGGUCUUGCUAUCACUUAUAGAUGGAUCCGCGCUGCAUUAGCUAGUUGGUAAGGUAACGGCUUACCAAGGCAACGAUGCAUAGCCGACCUGAGAGGGUGAUCGGCCACACUGGAACUGAGACACGGUCCAGACUCCUACGGGAGGCAGCAGUAGGGAAUCUUCCGCAAUGGGCGAAAGCCUGACGGAGCAACGCCGCGUGAGUGAUGAAGGUCUUCGGAUCGUAAAACUCUGUUAUUAGGGAAGAACAAAUGUGUAAGUAACUGUGCACAUCUUGACGGUACCUAAUCAGAAAGCCACGGCUAACUACGUG